GACAGAGGGGGCAAGCGUUGCUCGGAAUUACUGGGCGUAAAGGGCGCGUAGGCGGGAUGGCAAGUCGGUCGUGAAAUCCCUCGGCUCAACCGAGGAACGUCGAUCGAUACUGCUGUUCUUGAGGAUUGCAGAGGAGACUGGAAUUCCCGGUGUAGCGGUGAAAUGUGUAGAGAUCGGGAGGAACACCGGUGGCGAAGGCGGCGACCUGGGUAGAUACUGACGCUGAGGUGCGAAAGCGUGGGGAGCAAACAGG
Molecule: ribosomal RNA, 253 nt
Filed under: uncultured bacterium
Lineage: Bacteria
Description: partial 16S ribosomal RNA
Rfam family: Bacterial small subunit ribosomal RNA
Source: RNAcentral